RNAcentral lists this ribosomal RNA (314 nucleotides) under uncultured bacterium. RNAcentral describes it as "bacterial SSU rRNA". It matches the Rfam family "Bacterial small subunit ribosomal RNA", at positions 32 to 324 of the family's 1533-position model. The record is from RNAcentral.
AAUCAACGCUGGCGGCGUGCCUCAGACAUGCAAGUCGAACGAGAAAGUCCCCUUCGGGGGAUAAGUAAAGUGGCGCACGGGUGAGUAACACGUAGGUAAUCUACCUUCGGGUGGGGAAUAACCCAGGGAAACUUGGGCUAACACCGCAUAAUGCAGCGGCACCACAUGGUGACAGUUGUUAAAGCGGGGGGUAUUUUAGGACCUCGCGCCUGAAGAGGAGCCUGCGGCGGAUUAGCUAGUUGGUAAGGAACGGCUUACCAAGGCAACGAUCCGUAGCCGGCCUGAGAGGGCGGUCGGCCACACUGACACUGACA